UGGGGAAUUUUGGACAAUGGGCGAAAGCCUGAUCCAGCAAUGCCGCGUGUGCGAUGACGGCCUUCGGGUUGUAAAGCACUUUCAGUUGUGAAGAAAUGUACACGGUUAAUAGCCGUGUAAGCUGACGUUAACAACAAAAGAAGCACCGGCUAACUCUGUGCCAGCAGCCGCGGUAAUACAGAGGGUGCGAGCGUUAAUCGGAAUUACUGGGCGUAAAGAGCGCGUAGGUGGUCUACUAAGUCAUGUGUGAAAUCCCCGAGCUUAACUUGGGAAUUGCAUGUGAUACUGGUAGUCUAGAGUAUGGUAGAGGGAAGUGGAAUUUCCGGUGUAGCGGUGAAAUGCAUAGAUAUCGGAAGGAACACCAGUGGCGAAGGCGACUUCCUGGGCCAAUACUGACACUGAGGCGCGAAAGCGUGGGGAGCAAACAGG
This 429-nucleotide ribosomal RNA is filed under the name uncultured bacterium. RNAcentral's name for it is "bacterial SSU rRNA". It matches the Rfam family "Bacterial small subunit ribosomal RNA", at positions 355 to 776 of the family's 1533-position model. The record is from RNAcentral.